Molecule: ribosomal RNA, 497 nt
Filed under: uncultured bacterium
Lineage: Bacteria
Description: partial 16S ribosomal RNA
Rfam family: Bacterial small subunit ribosomal RNA
Source: RNAcentral
GAUGAACGCUGGCGGCGUGCCUAAUACAUGCGAGUCGAGCGAACGGACGAGAAGCUUGCUUCUCUGAUGUUAGCGGCGGACGGGUGAGUAACACGUGGAUAACCUACCUAUAAGACUGGGAUAACUUCGGGAAACCGGAGCUAAUACCGGAUGAUAUUUUGAACCGCAUGGUUCAAAAGUGAAGGACGGUCUUGCUGUCACUUAUAGAUGGAUCCGCGCUGCAUUAGCUAGUUGGUAAGGUAACGGCUUACCAAGGCAACGAUGCAUAGCCGACCUGAGAGGGUGAUCGGCCACACUGGAACUGAGACACGGUCCAGACUCCUACGGGAGGCAGCAGUAGGGAAUCUUCCGCAAUGGGCGAAAGCCUGACGGAGCAACGCCGCGUGAGUGAUGAAGGUCUUCGGAUCGUAAAACUCUGUUAUUAGGGAAGAACAUAUGUGUAAGUAACUGUGCACAUCUUGACGGUACCUAAUCAGAAAGCCACGGCUAACUACGUG